UAGCAUAAUCAUUAGUUUUUUAAUUGAAAACUUGUAUGGAUGGUUGGACAAGGAAAAAGCUGUCUCUUUUAUUAAAAUUGAAUUUAACUUCUAAGUGAAAAGGCUUAGAUACUUUAGAGGGACGAUAAGACCCUAUAAAGCUUUAUAAAUUUAAAGAUUUUACAUAUUUUAUCUAUAAUGGUAACCUCUGGAGAAUUUAUUGGGUUGGGGCAACAAAAGUAUAAUUAUCAAUAACUGCUAUAAAAUAAUACAAUUAUCUUUGUGUGGGUAGAUUAGUUGAUCCCUGAAAAGGAUUAAAAGAUCAAGUUACUUUAGGGAUAACAGCGUAAUUUAUCCUGAGAGUUCUUAUCAAAGGAAAAGCUUGCGACCUG
RNAcentral lists this ribosomal RNA (371 nucleotides) under Portunus sanguinolentus (three spot swimming crab). RNAcentral describes it as "partial 16S ribosomal RNA". It matches the Rfam family "Bacterial large subunit ribosomal RNA", at positions 1957 to 2527 of the family's 2925-position model. The record is from RNAcentral. Lineage: Eukaryota; Metazoa; Arthropoda; Malacostraca; Decapoda; Portunidae.